RNAcentral lists this ribosomal RNA (421 nucleotides) under uncultured bacterium. Its description in RNAcentral is "bacterial SSU rRNA". It matches the Rfam family "Bacterial small subunit ribosomal RNA", at positions 508 to 927 of the family's 1533-position model. The record is from RNAcentral.
UCAGCCGCCGCGGUAAAACGUAGGAGGCGAGCGUUAUCCGGAUUUACUGGGUGUAAAGCGCGUGCAGGCGGUUUUCAAAGUGGUGCGUGAAAGCGCCCGGCUCAACCGGGCGAGGCCGUGCCAAACUGGAAAGCUUGAGGUAGGUAGAGGCGGGUGGAAUUCCGGGUGUAGUGGUGAAAUGCGUAGAGAUCCGGAGGAACACCAGAGGCGAAGGCGACCCGCUGGGCCUGACCUGACGCUCAGACGCGAAAGCAUGGGGAGCGAACGGGAUUAGAAACCCCGGUAGUCCAUGCCGUAAACGAUGUCGACUAGGUGUGGCGGGGGUAACACCCUGCUGUGCCGAAGCCAACGCGAUAAGUCGACCACCUGGGGACUACGGCCGCAAGGUUAAAACUCAAAGGAAUUGACGGGGGCCCGCACA